CGGGCGCCCAGCGCCAUUCGGAACGAGGGCCAUACUUGUAGAGCACCGAAGGGAUCGGCGCGCUGAUCCAUACCGGACUUGGUCCGGCAAAGCGGAUGCUUCGCGUCACCACUCAGGCCGACAGUCUGGAAAGUCUAUCCUCUUACAACUAACACAAGGGUAUGGACUAGGGACACUACCUGCGGGCAUUCUUCGACCAGCCACGAACAACAUGACCAUACUUGAUCAGAAUAAAGGGGAUGGGGACCAUGGCCAAGGCAAUGAAGCCCAAGACGGUGGUGGCCCAGCGGGAAUUCAGGCGAUCGUACAUCUGCUCGCCAAACAUGGGGAAGCCAGCGCCGAACGCCGACCGAAAGACGGUGUUGAUAGCAAUUGCACUAGCCGAGCUGAAGAUGUACACCUCGGUGAUAUACGUGAAUAGACUCAGGAAGAUGAAAAAGAGGCCCGAGCCGAACAUGCCACCGGCCACCAGAGGACUCCAGAACGAAAUCCAGUCGUACGACGUCCAAGCAAACCAGAACAGCGACACGGUGAGCAGCACCGAGCCCAGCAUACAGGGGCGCAGGCGCACCUCGGGUGCCAGGGGCUUGCCGCCAUUCUUGGCCAUCCCCUUCACAUACAUCCGCUGGUCCACCGUGAUACAGUAGAGGCCCGACAGGAGACAGCCGACGAAGAAGCCCAGGAACGUCAGGCCCGUCGAGCCAGGCGGCAGGCGGUGUCCGAGCUCAAACACGUACGGAUAGGCCACAAAGAGCAGGUAGAGCGUGCCGUACACGAACGAGAUAUAGAUCGUCGUCGCGAGAAGCAUAGGCUCCACGAUAAUCAUUUUGAUCGGCU
This 837-nucleotide long non-coding RNA is filed under the name Malassezia sympodialis ATCC 42132. The record is from RNAcentral. Lineage: Eukaryota; Fungi; Basidiomycota; Malasseziomycetes; Malasseziales; Malasseziaceae.